UUAACUGGUUUGUCCUGAAAAGUGUAGCAGAAGGCCACAGCUUCUUUGAGUGACUUUUUAUGCUGUUUACAGCUUUUCAGGAUGCUAAUUGACUAUCUUAGCUGUGUGCAGUUAAGGCAGUUAAUUGACAUCUAGCUGUUUCAAUCAAGUGUGCAUGAAGACACUAAAUCCAAGCAAGCUGCAUUUCUGGGUAGCGUUUCUGUUUAAAAAUCAUGUUAGUUGAAAUAUUUUAAUUGGCCAAGUAACUUCUUUGAAGGCAGAACCUUUUAGCCUUAAAAGUUAAAUCAAAACGUUGAAAGCUACAAAAAUCCCGCAUUUAUUUUUGACUUCUUAGCUGAAAGCUAAUUAGUAUUGAACAAAUGCACGUUAGCGGUGUGUUCCCACUCAUUUCUGUGGGAAGAAACUGUUGGUGAUUUUAAUACUAGAUCGCGUACACCUGCAGCUAAUUCUAGUGAACACAAAGCACCAGAGUCUGUGAAAUGGUUAACCUGUCUCUACCUAUUCACCGUUAACAUGCCUACCUCAUGCUGCAAUACACAAGUGCCCAGCCAUGCAUGAUUAGGUCCUGCGGUUAGCAGGAGUGUUCUGGAGCCAGGGCUGCUCCUGUUGAGUCAUAUUUCUUGUUCUAGAAUAAAGAGCCUCCUAGUUACCACUGCUAACUGAGUAGACGCUACGACAUAGGUGAUGUACGACACUGGCACUGGCUUGAAACCUAAGGCCUAAGUGGCUAGGGAAGAGAGAAUAACAGGGACCUGAGCUGCUAACUUCACGUGAACAAGACAGGUGUUACAGGCAUGGUGCCGUAUCUGCUCCUACAUUCAGCAUUUGGUCUGAGCACAGAUAAACUGGGAUGAGAAAGGCUUGGAAUAUGGUACAGACAUCACUGAAAUUGGCUUAGGAUGCUGAGAAGAGACAGGUUUGGAGAGUAGCACAGGAACAUGCUUAGUGCACAGCACCAAAGCUGGUAUCAGGGCGUCUUGGGACACAGCAGAUACGCAGAGGGCUGUCUGGGUUAGCUGAAAACAGACGUAUCUGGGCUGUGGCAUAGGCUCAGAGUACUGACUCCAAGGAACUUGAGGAGAACUGCAAACAAGCCUGCCUGUUGCAUAACACAGACAUACAUCAGAGAAUAAAAUGCUGGAUCAAU
Molecule: long non-coding RNA, 1147 nt
Organism: Cygnus olor (mute swan)
Lineage: Eukaryota; Metazoa; Chordata; Aves; Anseriformes; Anatidae
Exons: 3
Source: RefSeq, a predicted model, not a curated record